Molecule: ribosomal RNA, 846 nt
Filed under: Triticum aestivum (bread wheat)
Lineage: Eukaryota; Viridiplantae; Streptophyta; Magnoliopsida; Poales; Poaceae
Description: partial small subunit ribosomal RNA
Source: RNAcentral
CUUUUUGCUGAAGCGACAUUGAGCCCUAUGCACUUUACGGUCUACACACCCAAUACCAUCCCAUCCUCUUGUGGUGUCACUGGGAGCACCUUGCAGAUCUACUCCAUCAGAAUUCUUGAACUAAAAAGAGGAUUGAACUGGCCACUCAAACUGUACGGAGUGGUUGCUGCUCGAGACACGGUGGAUCGCAACCGUAACAUUGUCUUCUCUCGGUCAAGUCGUUACUCUCAAGAACUCAAUGAAGAUGGCUCUUCUUUAUGUUUGACUGGUCCAUCUCGUGCAAUUGUCGCUCUGGGCCCUGUUGACUUUGAAAUUGAACUGAAAAUAGAAGAGGGAGAGGAGUCCCAAGACAAAGAAUUGAUCACUCUUAGCAAGCGGUAUGACGGUACAGGUACCUCUCUCAUGUUCGAGAACAGUUUGUGUGUAGCGGAGCUAAAACUUAAGCAGCUUUCUGAAGCGGUUCAGGCCACUGUCUUGGGUGUAUGCGUUGUUGAAGGGGAUUGGCCUUUCGAACAUGGAUGCCGAGUUGCUUGCACCUUAUCUGCUGCUGCAGAUGAAGUUGUGGCUGAUGCAGAUGAAAUUGUGUUGCUGGAUUGUCGCGGUGAUGAUGAAGAAGUGCGUGUAGGAUCAGAUGGUUACCUUCAUCUGUCAAGGAGUGUUGUCUCAGUGCAAAAACGAGGAACACUGGUAGUUGUCAUACGGACCUACUUGGAGUCUGGUCACGCUGCUCAAGAUUCGAAGGUUGAAUUCCUUGCCAAGCUUUGCCAAACCAGUGAGAGUGAAUGUUCAGUUGGUAACAGCAAGGUAAAGAUCGUUGUUGCUUGGUCCCUCCUUGUCAAGGAGAAG